RNAcentral lists this ribosomal RNA (460 nucleotides) under Funneliformis mosseae. Its description in RNAcentral is "LSU rRNA". It matches the Rfam family "Eukaryotic large subunit ribosomal RNA", at positions 358 to 668 of the family's 3401-position model. The record is from RNAcentral. Lineage: Eukaryota; Fungi; Glomeromycota; Glomeromycetes; Glomerales; Glomeraceae.
GGAAAGAUGAAAAGAACUUUGAAAAGAGAGUUAAACAGUACGUGAAAUUGUUGAAAGGGAAACGAUUGAAGUCAGUCAUACCAACGGGAAAUCAACCUUUUGAGCUUGGUCUCGUGGGUUUUGAAGAGUUUCAAAGCCUUCGGAUUCGCGAGAUUGGGAUCUCUCGGUGUACUUUCUCGUACGGUUAGUCAACAUCGGUUUUGAAUGUCAUAAAAUGACUGGAGGAAUGUAGCUUCGAUCUCGUAUUGAAGUGUUAUAGCCUUUGGUAGAUGUGAUGUUUGAGACCGAGGAUUGCAACGGAUACCCUUCAGGGCUACUCGUCUGAUCUCUGAUACGUUGCCUUGAUGUUGAAAGCUUGCUUAUGAUGUUAGGGUAUUACGGUCAGAAGGUUAGAACGAAUUACAUUCGUUAAGGAUGUUGACGUAAUGACUUUAAACGACCCGUCUUGAAACACGGACCA